GACGAACGCUGGCGGCGUGCUUAACACAUGCAAGUCGAACGGAAAGGCCCUGCUUUUGUGGGGUGCUCGAGUGGCGAACGGGUGAGUAACACGUGAGUAACCUGCCCUUGACUUUGGGAUAACUUCAGGAAACUGGGGCUAAUACCGGAUAGGAGCUCCUGCUGCAUGGUGGGGGUUGGAAAGUUUCGGCGGUUGGGGAUGGACUCGCGGCUUAUCAGCUUGUUGGUGGGGUAGUGGCUUACCAAGGCUUUGACGGGUAGCCGGCCUGAGAGGGUGACCGGCCACAUUGGGACUGAGAGACGGACCAGACUCCUACGGGCGGCAGCAGUGGGGAAUAUUGCACAAUGGGCGGAAGCCUGAUGCAGCAACGCCGCGUGCGGGAUGACGGCCUUCGGGUUGUAAACCGCUUUCGCCUGUGACGAAGCGUGAGUGACGGUAAUGGGUAAAGAAGCACCGGCUAACUACGUG
RNAcentral lists this ribosomal RNA (468 nucleotides) under uncultured bacterium. Its description in RNAcentral is "partial 16S ribosomal RNA". It matches the Rfam family "Bacterial small subunit ribosomal RNA", at positions 28 to 507 of the family's 1533-position model. The record is from RNAcentral.